Molecule: ribosomal RNA, 275 nt
Filed under: uncultured bacterium
Lineage: Bacteria
Description: partial 16S ribosomal RNA
Rfam family: Bacterial small subunit ribosomal RNA
Source: RNAcentral
AUACGGAGGGUGCGAGCGUUAAUCGGAAUUACUGGGCGUAAAGCGUGCGUAGGCGGUUUGUUAAGUCAGAAGUGAAAGCCCUGGGCUCAACCUGGGAACGGCUUUUGAGACUGGCAGACUCGAGUUGAGUAGAGGGGAGUGGAAUUUCCGGUGUAGCGGUGAAAUGCGUAGAGAUCGGAAGGAACACCAGUGGCGAAGGCGACUCCCUGGACUCAAACUGACGCUGAGGUACGAAAGCGUGGGUAGCAAACAGGAUUAGAAACCCUUGUAGUCCC